CCCUUAGACGUUCUGGGCCGCACGCGCGCUACACUGACCAGUGCAACAAGCAUCCGUCCUUGGCCGACAGGCCCGGGCAAUCUUUGAACGCUGGUCGUGAUGGGGAUAGACUUUUGCAAUUUUUGGUCUUCAACGAGGAAUUCCUAGUAGACGUAGUUCAUCAGACUGCAUCGAUUACGUCCCUGCCCUUUGUACACACCGCCCGUCGCUCCUACCGAUUGAAUGCUCAGGUGAGCCAUUCGGACUUUCAUCAUGCUGGUUUCCAGUUUUGAUGAAGGAAAGUCUUGCGAACCUUAUCAUUUAGAGGAAGGAGAAGUCGUAACA
This 324-nucleotide ribosomal RNA is filed under the name uncultured eukaryote. RNAcentral's name for it is "partial 18S ribosomal RNA". It matches the Rfam family "Eukaryotic small subunit ribosomal RNA", at positions 1470 to 1796 of the family's 1831-position model. The record is from RNAcentral.